Silurus meridionalis is the source of this 469-nucleotide long non-coding RNA. RefSeq lists it as uncharacterized. Lineage: Eukaryota; Metazoa; Chordata; Actinopteri; Siluriformes; Siluridae. The record is from RefSeq and is a predicted model, not a curated record. The transcript has 3 exons.
UGUGUGUGUGUUUAUUCUGUUUGUGGUAUUUAUUCAUACAGAUGAACACACACUGCUGUAAUAUGUAAUAAAGAUGUUAAUGAAGGAUUUCAGAAUAACAAAACAUUUUACUGCAUGUCCUAAUCGUAUGUGUGACAAAUACAAUUUUAAUUUGAAGGUGUUAAGAAAAGUGGUAAUAUAGAUGUUCCUGAAGGUGGUAAUGAAGGUGUUACUGAAGGUGGUAAUGAAGGCGGUAAUGAAGGUGGUAAUGAAGGUGUUACUGAAGGCGGUAAUAAAGGCGGUAAUGAAGGCGGUAAUGAAGGCGGUAAUGAAGGUGUUACUGAAGGUGGUAAUGAAGGCGGUAAUGAAGGCGGUAAUGAAGGCGGUAAUGAAGGCGGUAAUGAAGGCGGUAAUGAAGGUGUUACUGAAGGUGUUACUGAAGGCGGUAAUGAAGGCGGUAAUGAAGGCGGUAAUGAAGGUGUUACUGAAG